GGAGGGGGAUGGGUAGGCUCCUUCUGGCCCCGGCCCUCCUGGGGCUGGCCUGGUCUUGGGUGCGGCCCAAGCCCCGCCCCC
RNAcentral lists this transfer RNA (81 nucleotides) under Meiothermus luteus. Its description in RNAcentral is "tRNA-Arg". The record is from RNAcentral. Lineage: Bacteria; Thermotogati; Deinococcota; Deinococci; Thermales; Thermaceae.